AAAUGAAUAGACGGGGACCCGCACAAGCAGCGGAGCAUGUGGUUUAAUUCGAAGCAACGCGAAGAACCUUACCAGGACUUGACAUCCCGAUGAAACUCGCUUAACCGUGAGCCCUCUUCGGAGCAUCGGUGACAGGUGGUGCAUGGUUGUCGUCAGCUCGUGUCGUGAGAUGUUGGGUUAAGUCCCGCAACGAGCGCAACCCUUGCUGUUAGUUGCCAUCAUUAAGUUGGGCACUCUAACGGGACUGCCGGGGAUAACUCGGAGGAAGGUGGGGAUGACGUCAAAUCAUCAUGCCCCUUAUGUUCUGGGCUACACACGUGCUACAAUGGUCGGUACAAAGAGCAGCAAGACCGUGAGGUGGAGCAAAUCUCAAAAACCGAUCCCAGUUCGGAUUGUAGGCUGCAACUCGCCUACAUGAAGUUGGAGUUGCUAGUAAUCGUGGAUCAGAAUGCCACGGUGAAUGCGUUCCCGGGUCUUGUACACACCGCCCGU
RNAcentral lists this ribosomal RNA (492 nucleotides) under uncultured bacterium. RNAcentral describes it as "bacterial SSU rRNA". It matches the Rfam family "Bacterial small subunit ribosomal RNA", at positions 903 to 1397 of the family's 1533-position model. The record is from RNAcentral.